This is a long non-coding RNA of Bubalus bubalis (water buffalo), 1432 nucleotides long. RefSeq lists it as uncharacterized. Lineage: Eukaryota; Metazoa; Chordata; Mammalia; Artiodactyla; Bovidae. The transcript is spliced from 3 exons. The record is from RefSeq and is a predicted model, not a curated record.
GUAGAACUGAGUCUUUGGAAAAGACCCUGAUGCUGGGAAAGACUGAAGGCAGGAGGAGAAGGGGAUGGCAGAGGAUGAGAUGGUUGGAUAGCAUCACCGAUUCAGUGGACCUCCAUUUCAGUAAACUCCUGGUUGGUGAUGGACAAGGAAGUCUGGUGUGCUGCAGUCCAUGAGGUCACAAAGAGUCCGACAUGACUUAGUGACUGAACUGAACUGAUUGUUAUUACUCUUUAUUGCCUCUUCAUGAUGCCUAAAUCUUGUCUUUGUUCCCAAUAUUUUGAGCACUGACACAUGUAUCUAUUGGAUACAUCUAGUAGAUACCUGGAUGUUCUGUAGAUGUCUCAGCUCAUUAUUAUCUCCCCAACUUAUUAUUCUAAUGUUGCUUAUCUGAGCAAAUAUUAUCUUCAUGUGAAAUAUAGAAGUCAUCCUAGGCUCCUCGUUUUUAAUCAGUUAAUCCCAAAAAUUAAUUUCUCCCUAUUUUGACCCCCUUUAAGUUUUUUUCCCUCCUCUCACUCCUACCUAUAGGAGUCUCAUUUCUAGUAAGAGUGAAAUACUUAAUGAUAGGGACUCCCCUGGUAGUCCAGUGGUUAAAACUCCACACUUCCAAUGCAAGGGCCAUGAGUUCAGUCCCUGAUUAGGGAACUAAAAUGCCACAUGCCACAUGGGUGGGCAAAAAAAAGAAAUACUUAAGGAUAGUUCACUAUUAAACAAACAAACAAACAAACAAGAAUCCUGCUAUGUGCAAGGCAAUCAAUGACAAUCAUAAAAUGAAUAGUAUCCAAUCUCUUCCCUCAAGGAUCUCACAGUCUAAUUAGGAAAAGAGUAUAUUAAUAAUUUAACACCAAGUGGUGAGUGCUCUACAAGAAAUAUGUUAUAUAUUAAGGGAAGGCAGAAAUGGGAUUAUGGAGAGUGCGGUGAAGGAGGUAAUAGCAAAGAUCAGUCCCAUUCAACAGGCACUGAUACCUGGCUCUGUGCUAGCUAUUGGGGGCAUUUUUUCUAACCUGCAGAAUACCAUACUCCAUAGAAGAAGCUAUAAAUAUUUAUUUCAAUGAAAAUAGCUAAUACUAAGAUGGAGACACAGUGAUUUCUGGAAGCAUAAUCGAGGUCUGUAGUAUAAGAAUAAGACAUUUUAGAAAUGUCAGGAUCUUUAAUGAUUGUUCACAGCACUGCCUCUGCUUUAUCUGACACCUCUUGUCUUAUCUUACUGAAAAAACUUAUUUUUAAGGCUCACUUCAGAUGUUGUCUUCAGUUUGAGGCUGAUCGUGGCUUCCUUCCAGGCCACUUCUUUUUGUUGAUGUGCUACUGUGCUGUUCUUAGUCACUUCACUCAUACCCGAUUCUUUGAGACCUGUGAACCGCAGCCUGCCAGGCUCCUCUUUCCAUGAGACUUGCCAGAGUACAUUAUGAGAAACACCGGGCUGGAAGAAGCACAA